RNAcentral lists this ribosomal RNA (1492 nucleotides) under Lacticaseibacillus paracasei. Its description in RNAcentral is "bacterial SSU rRNA". It matches the Rfam family "Bacterial small subunit ribosomal RNA". The record is from RNAcentral. Lineage: Bacteria; Bacillati; Bacillota; Bacilli; Lactobacillales; Lactobacillaceae.
GAUGAACGCUGGCGGCGUGCCUAAUACAUGCAAGUCGAACGAGUUCUCGUUGAUGAUCGGUGCUUGCACCGAGAUUCAACAUGGAACGAGUGGCGGACGGGUGAGUAACACGUGGGUAACCUGCCCUUAAGUGGGGGAUAACAUUUGGAAACAGAUGCUAAUACCGCAUAGAUCCAAGAACCGCAUGGUUCUUGGCUGAAAGAUGGCGUAAGCUAUCGCUUUUGGAUGGACCCGCGGCGUAUUAGCUAGUUGGUGAGGUAAUGGCUCACCAAGGCGAUGAUACGUAGCCGAACUGAGAGGUUGAUCGGCCACAUUGGGACUGAGACACGGCCCAAACUCCUACGGGAGGCAGCAGUAGGGAAUCUUCCACAAUGGACGCAAGUCUGAUGGAGCAACGCCGCGUGAGUGAAGAAGGCUUUCGGGUCGUAAAACUCUGUUGUUGGAGAAGAAUGGUCGGCAGAGUAACUGUUGUCGGCGUGACGGUAUCCAACCAGAAAGCCACGGCUAACUACGUGCCAGCAGCCGCGGUAAUACGUAGGUGGCAAGCGUUAUCCGGAUUUAUUGGGCGUAAAGCGAGCGCAGGCGGUUUUUUAAGUCUGAUGUGAAAGCCCUCGGCUUAACCGAGGAAGCGCAUCGGAAACUGGGAAACUUGAGUGCAGAAGAGGACAGUGGAACUCCAUGUGUAGCGGUGAAAUGCGUAGAUAUAUGGAAGAACACCAGUGGCGAAGGCGGCUGUCUGGUCUGUAACUGACGCUGAGGCUCGAAAGCAUGGGUAGCGAACAGGAUUAGAUACCCUGGUAGUCCAUGCCGUAAACGAUGAAUGCUAGGUGUUGGAGGGUUUCCGCCCUUCAGUGCCGCAGCUAACGCAUUAAGCAUUCCGCCUGGGGAGUACGACCGCAAGGUUGAAACUCAAAGGAAUUGACGGGGGCCCGCACAAGCGGUGGAGCAUGUGGUUUAAUUCGAAGCAACGCGAAGAACUUUACCAGGUCUUGACAUCUUUUGAUCACCUGAGAGAUCAGGUUUCCCCUUCGGGGGCAAAAUGACAGGUGGUGCAUGGUUGUCGUCAGCUCGUGUCGUGAGAUGUUGGGUUAAGUCCCGCAACGAGCGCAACCCUUAUGACUAGUUGCCAGCAUUUAGUUGGGCACUCUAGUAAGACUGCCGGUAACAAACCGGAGGAAGGUGGGGAUGACGUCAAAUCAUCAUGCCCCUUAUGACCUGGGCUACACACGUGCUACAAUGGAUGGUACAACGAGUUGCGAGACCGCGAGGUCAAGCUAAUCUCUUAAAGCCAUUCUCAGUUCGGACUGUAGGCUGCAACUCGCCUACACGAAGUCGGAAUCGCUAGUAAUCGCGGAUCAGCACGCCGCGGUGAAUACGUUCCCGGGCCUUGUACACACCGCCCGUCACACCAUGAGAGUUUGUAACACCCGAAGCCGGUGGCGUAACCCUUUUAGGGAGCGAGCCGUCUAAGGUGGGACAAAUGAUUAGGGUG